This is a long non-coding RNA of Thamnophis elegans (Western terrestrial garter snake), 469 nucleotides long. RefSeq lists it as uncharacterized. Lineage: Eukaryota; Metazoa; Chordata; Lepidosauria; Squamata; Natricidae. The record is from RefSeq and is a predicted model, not a curated record. The transcript is spliced from 3 exons.
CUUCCUCCCUACAUCUUUUGACAAAGCCAUUUUUUUGCCGCACAAAGUGGAGCUAUCCAGGCUGAGCGGCUCCCCGUUUCUUCAAAUAGAUGGCGUGACGCAUAAUUGGUGCCUGUCGCUAUGCGGCUAGCAGAAUAGCAUCGCUCCUGCGCCAUGGGGAUAUGGCAGGGAGCAUGUUGGCUUCCAAGAAAACAUGACGAACUGGCAUCCCCAAAAAGCCUGCAGAGUCUCCAUCCAUUCCUAACUCUGCCAGCGAAAAAUAUCCUCCCGCGGCUACUUCCAAAGAUGGGACUCAGGAACCAAAGUCUGGAUGAAAUAAAAUAAAAAGGGCAGCAAAGCGGAUAAUGACGGUUUGUUUGACAAAGUCCUGCGCAUGCAGGAGGUGAACAGACCUGAGAAUCUCUUAUUCUGUCCUCCUCUCUUUGUUCCACUAUGAAAAUAAACUUAAAUAAAGAAGUAUUUCAUGCAU